AGCCUGAGUCCACCUAGAAGAGCUGAUAUAUCCCUGCCCUAUGCAACCCUUGGACCGAAUCAAAUCUCUGAAUUCUCAGAAUGAGAGCACAGGAGCUUAUUGUAGGAUGGAUGGAGCAUUCGAAAGCCCUUGGGCAGCAAACACUCUUCAGUAGGGUGCGUUUGGACCAGCAGUUCAUCUUCUGAAAAAGCUAAGCCGCUCUUCGUUUUGUUCCUUUCCUUUGAUUAUAAAAAUAGUUUAAAUAUAAAAAAAUUAGUAAUAGCCAUCUGCACGUCUUUCUUUGAGUUGUCUGUGAAAUUUUAUGCCCUGCCCAUGCUUUUUUUCUAUUGAUCCAUUUGUUAUUUUCUUAUUGAUUUGCAAAAUGCUCUUGACAUAUUAAGCAACACUGGCCCCAGCCACAUGGGUUGCAGAUGUUUUUGCUCAGAUCGGUUGUUGUCUUUUGCAUUUAUUUACAGUACUCUUUGACGUUCAGAAAUUUUCAUUUUGUAAAUAAAAAAAAAGCCUCAAAUAAAUUGAGUCAUUACUA
RNAcentral lists this long non-coding RNA (526 nucleotides) under Rattus norvegicus (Norway rat). RNAcentral describes it as "long non-coding RNA NONRATT023621". Lineage: Eukaryota; Metazoa; Chordata; Mammalia; Rodentia; Muridae. The record is from RNAcentral.